Molecule: long non-coding RNA, 576 nt
Organism: Callorhinchus milii (elephant shark)
Lineage: Eukaryota; Metazoa; Chordata; Chondrichthyes; Chimaeriformes; Callorhinchidae
Exons: 3
Source: RefSeq, a predicted model, not a curated record
CAUGGGGAGUGUUGUCUUCCUGUACCUGUCUGCCUUACACAUUAUUUCAACAGUUGAUGGCGAUUCUUCCGUGAAAGUGACUCAAAUCCCCGACCAUGUGGCUGCCAUCAGAGGAACAAAUGUUACCUUCCGCUGUAUCUUCCCCUUCUCUCAAGACGGUUCAGAAGUGGAGGUGCAGUGGAAUAAGAAGGGUGAGAGUGGCUAUUUGGAUACAAAGGAGGAUAACAGGAAACUAUUUGGUGUAAAAACUAAAGGAAGCAGCUUCUUCCAGUUCUUGAAUGUGAUUUCACAGGACUCUGGAGUCUAUCGCUGUGUAGUGGUCCGUCAGGGAUCAAUAAUCGGAACAGGAUCUGGAUCGCGAUUAACUGUGUGCGUUCCCCCAACUCCACUGAAGAUUUUCUCUAGGAAUUCACCUAAGCCUCAGACUCUUGUGUGUGAAACUGCUUUGUUUCACCCAAAGGAAAUCACCUUCACUUGGUAUAAAGAUGGCACCGAAAUUGUGCCAACACCAGAAAUAAAGCUGGAAGAGUCAGGUUCCACUGAGAAGCAGAACUCAGAGGAUCUCUAUAAGGCCUC